Long non-coding RNA from Triticum dicoccoides, 398 nucleotides. RefSeq lists it as uncharacterized. The transcript is spliced from 3 exons. Lineage: Eukaryota; Viridiplantae; Streptophyta; Magnoliopsida; Poales; Poaceae. The record is from RefSeq and is a predicted model, not a curated record.
GAACUUGAAGAAUUGGAGGUAGCAGUGUGUGUCUUGUAAAUAAGCAAGCAAUUCUCCCUGCUCCACAGAAAGCUACAGCUGAAGAUGAAGAACUUGCUACACUACAAGCUGAAACUUUGCUAUGACCAGGGUGACUACAAAGAGGAUUGAGAUAGAAAAUAGUAGUACAAACUUGCAAAAUACUCUUUUACAGAGAUCUAGUCCUAAUAAGACUCAAGGUGGAAGGCUAAUUGUUAUUUCUCCAAAUGCGCUCAUACAAGCUGCAACAAAGAAUUUGCAAAUGUUUGAAGCAAUGGAUCCAAAGAACUAGCUCGACUGGACUCUAGAUCACGGGGAGUUUAGUCUUGGCACUUAAUUAGGAUGGCUAAAUUACAUUUGAGUUUCAUUAGAUGGAUAUU